UACGUAGGGGGCAAGCGUUGUCCGGAUUUAUUGGGCGUAAAGAGCGCGUAGGCGGCCGUUCACGUCGGAUGUAAAAGCUCAAAGCUCAACUUUGAGAUGCCAUUCGAUACGGGACGGCUUGAGGCAGCUAGGGGAGAGUGGAAUUCCUGGUGUAGCGGUGAAAUGCGCAGAUAUCAGGAGGAACACCGGUGGCGAAGGCGGCUCUCUGGGGCUGAUCUGACGCUGAGGCGCGAAAGCUGGGGUAGCGAACAGGAUUAGAAACCCCAGUAGU
RNAcentral lists this ribosomal RNA (271 nucleotides) under uncultured bacterium. RNAcentral's name for it is "partial 16S ribosomal RNA". It matches the Rfam family "Bacterial small subunit ribosomal RNA", at positions 524 to 794 of the family's 1533-position model. The record is from RNAcentral.